This 406-nucleotide ribosomal RNA is filed under the name uncultured bacterium. RNAcentral's name for it is "partial 16S ribosomal RNA". It matches the Rfam family "Bacterial small subunit ribosomal RNA", at positions 30 to 526 of the family's 1533-position model. The record is from RNAcentral.
AUUGAACGCUGGCGGCAGGCCUAACACAUGCAAGUCGAACGAGUGGCGCACGGGUGAGUACUGUCUGUGAAACUGCCCGAUGGAGGGGGGUAACUACUGGAAACGGUUCCUAAUACCGCAUUCCCUCGGAUGUGCCCCGAUGGGAUUAGCUAGGAGGUGGGGUAACGGCUCACCUAGGCGACGAUCCCUAGCUGGUCUGAGAGGAUGACCAGCCACACUGGAACUGAGACACGGUCCAGACUCCUACGGGAGGCAGCAGUGGGGAAUAUUGCACAAUGGGCGCAAGCCUGAUGCAGCCAUGCCGCGUGUGUGAAGAAGGCCUUCGGGUUGUAAAGUACUUUCAGCGAGGAGGCGUUACUCGCAGAAGAAGCACCGGCUAACUCCGUGCCAGCAGCCGCGGUAAUUC